RNAcentral lists this ribosomal RNA (1302 nucleotides) under metagenome. RNAcentral's name for it is "bacterial LSU rRNA". It matches the Rfam family "Bacterial large subunit ribosomal RNA", at positions 1631 to 2925 of the family's 2925-position model. The record is from RNAcentral.
GCCCUACACGACCGUACCGCAAACCGACACUGGUGCGCGAGAUGAGUAUUCUAAGGCGCUUGAGAGAACUCAGGAGAAGGAACUCGGCAAAUUGACACCGUAACUUCGGAAGAAGGUGUGCCUUUAGUAGGUGAAGUCCCUCGCGGAUGGAGCCCAAUGAGGUUGCAAAAAUCGGUGGCUGCGACUGUUUAUUAAAAACACAGCACUCUGCAAACACGAAAGUGGACGUAUAGGGUGUGACGCCUGCCCGGUGCUGGAAGAUUAAAUGAUGGGGUGCAAGCUCUUGAUUGAAGUCCCAGUAAACGGCGGCCGUAACAAUAACGGUCCUAAGGUAGCGAAAUUCCUUGUCGGGUAAGUUCCGACCUGCACGAAUGGCGUAACGAUGGCCACACUGUCUCCUCCUGAGACUCAGCGAAGUUGAAAUGUUUGUGAUGAUGCAAUCUCCCCGCGGAAAGACGGAAAGACCCCAUGAACCUUUACUGUAGCUUUGUAUUGGACUUUGAACAGAUCUGUGUAGGAUAGGUGGGAGGCUUUGAAGCAGGGUCGCUAGAUCUUGUGGAGCCAACGUUGAAAUACCACCCUGGUGUGUUUGAGGUUCUAACCUAGGCCCGUAAUCCGGGUUGGGGACAGUGCAUGGUAGGCAGUUUGACUGGGGCGGUCUCCUCCCAACUGUAACGGAGGAGUUCGAAGGUACGCUAGUUACGGUCGGACAUCGUGACGAUAGUGCAAUGGCAUAAGCGUGCUUAACUGCGAGACUGACAAGUCGAGCAGAUGCGAAAGCAGGACAUAGUGAUCCGGUGGUUCUGUAUGGAAGGGCCAUCGCUCAACGGAUAAAAGGUACUCUGGGGAUAACAGGCUGAUACCGCCCAAGAGUUCAUAUCGACGGCGGUGUUUGGCACCUCGAUGUCGGCUCAUCUCAUCCUGGGGCUGUAGCCGGUCCCAAGGGUAUGGCUGUUCGCCAUUUAAAGAGGUACGUGAGCUGGGUUUAAAACGUCGUGAGACAGUUUGGUCCCUAUCUUCCGUGGGCGCUGCAGAUUUGAGGAAGCCUGCUCCUAGUACGAGAGGACCGGAGUGGACGCACCUCUGGUGUAUCGGUUGUCACGCCAGUGGCAUUGCCGAGUAGCUAUGUGCGGAAGAGAUAACCGCUGAAAGCAUCUAAGCGGGAAACUCGUUUCAAGAUGAGAUCUGCCGGGGCCUUGAGCCCCCUGAAGAGUCGUUCAAGACCAGGACGUUGAUAGGUCGGGUGUGGAAGCGCAGUAAUGCGUUAAGCUAACCCAUACUAAUUGCUCGUGCGGCUUGAUC